CCUACGGGUGGCAGCAGUGGGGAAUAUUGGGCAAUGGGCGCAAGCCUGACCCAGCAACGCCGCGUGAAGGAAGAAGGCUUUCGGGUUGUAAACUUCUUUUGUCAGGGACGAAGCAAGUGACGGUACCUGACGAAUAAGCCACGGCUAACUACGUGCCAGCAGCCGCGGUAAUACGUAGGUGGCAAACGUUAUCCGGAUUUAUUGGGUGUAAAGGGCGUGUAGGCGGGAAUGAAAGUCAGAUGUGAAAACUAUGGGCCCAACCCAUAGCGUGCAUUUGAAACUGUAUUUCUUGAGUGCUGUGGAGGCAAACGGAAUUCGGGGUGUAGCGGUGAAAUGCGUAGAUAUACGGAGGAACACCAGUGGCGAAGGCGGAGUGCUGGACAGAAACUGACGCUGAGGCGCGAAAGCGUGGGGAUCAAACAGGAUUAGAUACCCUAGUAGUC
This 443-nucleotide ribosomal RNA is filed under the name uncultured bacterium. RNAcentral describes it as "partial 16S ribosomal RNA". It matches the Rfam family "Bacterial small subunit ribosomal RNA", at positions 338 to 795 of the family's 1533-position model. The record is from RNAcentral.